Small nucleolar RNA from Salvia splendens (bonfire salvia), 80 nucleotides. RefSeq annotates it as small nucleolar RNA R16. The transcript has a single exon. NCBI's taxonomy places the organism in Eukaryota, Viridiplantae, Streptophyta, Magnoliopsida, Lamiales, Lamiaceae. The record is from RefSeq and is a predicted model, not a curated record.
AAAGGCAAUUGAUGUGAAAUUAGAUUAUUGUACGCUGAAUUUGAUGUGGACUACAACUCCGCUUAUUACCUGAUGCCUUC